AUGCUCAUUUUGGCAGCAUGUAUACUAAAUUGGAAUGAUACUGAGAAGAUUAGAAUGGUCCCUGUGCAAGGAUGACAUGCAAAUCCAUGAAACAUUCCAUAUUACA
This is a small nuclear RNA of Phascolarctos cinereus (koala), 106 nucleotides long. Lineage: Eukaryota; Metazoa; Chordata; Mammalia; Diprotodontia; Phascolarctidae. The record is from Ensembl.